AGUCGAACGAUGAUCAGGAGCUUGCUCCUGUGAUUAGUGGCGAACGGGUGAGUAACACGUGAGUAACCUGCCCCUGACUCUGGGAUAAGCGUUGGAAACGACGUCUAAUACUGGAUAUGAUCACUGGCCGCAUGGUCUGGUGGUGGAAAGAUUUUUUGGUUGGGGAUGGACUCGCGGCCUAUCAGCUUGUUGGUGAGGUAAUGGCUCACCAAGGCGACGACGGGUAGCCGGCCUGAGAGGGUGACCGGCCACACUGGGACUGAGACACGGCCCAGACUCCUACGGGAGGCAGCAGUGGGGAAUAUUGCACAAUGGGCGAAAGCCUGAUGCAGCAACGCCGCGUGAGGGAUGACGGCCUUCGGGUUGUAAACCUCUUUUAGUAGGGAAGAAGCGAAAGUGACGGUACCUGCAGAAAAAGCACCGGCUAACUACGUGCCAGCAGCCGCGGUAAUACGUAGGGUGCAAGCGUUGUCCGGAAUUAUUGGGCGUAAAGAGCUCGUAGGCGG
RNAcentral lists this ribosomal RNA (506 nucleotides) under Curtobacterium sp. Its description in RNAcentral is "bacterial SSU rRNA". It matches the Rfam family "Bacterial small subunit ribosomal RNA", at positions 60 to 578 of the family's 1533-position model. The record is from RNAcentral. Lineage: Bacteria; Bacillati; Actinomycetota; Actinomycetes; Micrococcales; Microbacteriaceae.